UACGUAGGGUGCAAGCGUUGUCCGGAAUUAUUGGGCGUAAAGCGCUCGUAGGCGGUUUGUCGCGUCUGCUGUGAAAACUCGGGGCUUAACCCCGGGCCUGCAGUGGGUACGGGCAGACUAGAGUGCGGUAGGGGAGGCUGGAAUUCCUGGUGUAGCGGUGAAAUGCGCAGAUAUCAGGAGGAACACCGGUGGCGAAGGCGGGUCUCUGGGCCGUAACUGACGCUGAGGAGCGAAAGCGUGGGGAGCGAACAGG
This 253-nucleotide ribosomal RNA is filed under the name uncultured bacterium. Its description in RNAcentral is "partial 16S ribosomal RNA". It matches the Rfam family "Bacterial small subunit ribosomal RNA", at positions 524 to 776 of the family's 1533-position model. The record is from RNAcentral.